RNAcentral lists this transfer RNA (69 nucleotides) under Marmota monax (woodchuck). It matches the Rfam family "tRNA". From Rfam's summary of the family: Transfer RNA (tRNA) molecules are approximately 80 nucleotides in length. Lineage: Eukaryota; Metazoa; Chordata; Mammalia; Rodentia; Sciuridae. RNAcentral also lists the same sequence under 2 other names. The record is from Rfam by way of RNAcentral.
GGGGUUGUGGCUCAGUGGUAGAGCGCUUGCCUAGCAUGCGUGAGGCACUGGGUUCAAUCCCUGGCACCA